Molecule: ribosomal RNA, 717 nt
Filed under: uncultured bacterium
Lineage: Bacteria
Description: bacterial SSU rRNA
Rfam family: Bacterial small subunit ribosomal RNA
Source: RNAcentral
GGUAGUCCACGCCGUAAACGAUGUCGACUUGGAGGCUGUUCCCCUGAGGAGUGGCUUCCGGAGCUAACGCGUUAAGUCGACCGCCUGGGGAGUACGGCCGCAAGGUUAAAACUCAAAUGAAUUGACGGGGGCCCGCACAAGCGGUGGAGCAUGUGGUUUAAUUCGAUGCAACGCGAAGAACCUUACCUGGCCUUGACAUCCAGAGAACUUAGCAGAGAUGCUUCGGUGCCUUCGGGAACUCUGAGACAGGUGCUGCAUGGCUGUCGUCAGCUCGUGUUGUGAAAUGUUGGGCUAAGUCCCGCAACGAGCGCAACCCUUAUCCUUUGUUGCCAGCGGGUAGUGCCGGGAACUCAAAGGAGACUGCCGGUGAUAAACCGGAGGAAGGUGGGGAUGACGUCAAGUCAUCAUGGCCCUUACGGCCAGGGCUACACACGUGCUACAAUGGCGCAUACAAAGAGAAGCGACCUCGCGAGAGCAAGCGGACCUCACAAAGUGCGUCGUAGUCCGGAUCGGAGUCUGCAACUCGACUCCGUGAAGUCGGAAUCGCUAGUAAUCGUGGAUCAGAAUGCCACGGUGAAUACGUUCCCGGGCCUUGUACACACCGCCCGUCACACCAUGGGAGUUGGAUUCACCCGAAGGCGUUGCGCUAACUCAGCAAUGAGAGGCAGGCGACCACGGUGGGUUUAGCGACUGGGGUGAAGUCGUAACAAGGUAACC